RNAcentral lists this non-coding RNA (29 nucleotides) under Rattus norvegicus (Norway rat). Lineage: Eukaryota; Metazoa; Chordata; Mammalia; Rodentia; Muridae. The record is from RNAcentral.
UGAAAUAUUUUCUGAAACACGGUUGGACU